ACUCAAAGGAAUUGACGGGGACCCGCACAAGCGGUGGAACAUGUGGUUUAAUUCGAAGCAACGCGAAAAACCUUACCAGGGCUUGACAUCUAGAGAAUUCUGGUGAAAGUCAGAAGUGCCCCUCGGGGAACUCUAAGACAGGUGGUGCACGGUUGUCGUCAGCUCGUGUCGUGAGAUGUUGGGUUAAGUCCCGCAACGAGCGCAACCCUCGUCGUUAGUUGCAUACAGCGGUAUACUGCUGUAGUGCUCUCUAGCGAGACUGCCGGUGAUAAACCGGAGGAAGGUGGGGACGACGUCAAAUCAUCAUGCCCCUUAUGCUCUGGGCUACACACGUGUUACAAUGGCUAAGACAACGAGUCGCCAACUCGCAAGAGUGAGCAAAUCUCUUAAACUUAGUCUCAGUUCGGAUUGGAGUCUGUAACUCGACUCCAUGAAGUCGGAAUCGCUAGUAAACGCAGAUCAGCACGCUGCGUUGAAUACGUUCCCGGGUCUUGUACACACCGCCCGU
This 508-nucleotide ribosomal RNA is filed under the name uncultured bacterium. RNAcentral describes it as "bacterial SSU rRNA". It matches the Rfam family "Bacterial small subunit ribosomal RNA", at positions 899 to 1397 of the family's 1533-position model. The record is from RNAcentral.